Molecule: ribosomal RNA, 263 nt
Filed under: uncultured Staphylococcus sp.
Lineage: Bacteria; Bacillati; Bacillota; Bacilli; Caryophanales; Staphylococcaceae
Description: partial 16S ribosomal RNA
Rfam family: Bacterial small subunit ribosomal RNA
Source: RNAcentral
CGGACGGGUGAGUAACACGUGGAUAACCUACCUAUAAGACUGGGAUAACUUCGGGAAACCGGAGCUAAUACCGGAUAAUAUAUUGAACCGCAUGGUUCAAUAGUGAAAGACGGUUUUGCUGUCACUUAUAGAUGGAUCCGCGCCGCAUUAGCUAGUUGGUAAGGUAACGGCUUACCAAGGCGACGAUGCGUAGCCGACCUGAGAGGGUGAUCGGCCACACUGGAACUGAGACACGGUCCAGACUCCUACGGGAGGCAGCAGCC